GAUGAACGCUGGCGGCGUGCCUAAUACAUGCAAGUCGAGCGAACGGACGGGAAGCUUGCUUCUCUGAUGUUAGCGGCGGACGGGUGAGUAACACGUGGAUAACCUACCUAUAAGACUGGGAUAACUUCGGGAAACCGGAGCUAAUACCGGAUAAUAUUUUGAACCGCAUGGUUCAAAAGUGAAAGACGGUCUUGCUGUCACUUAUAGAUGGAUCCGCGCUGCAUUAGCUAGUUGGUAAGGUAACGGCUUACCAAGGCAACGAUGCAUAGCCGACCUGAGAGGGUGAUCGGCCACAAUGGAACUGAGACACGGUCCAGACUCCUACGGGAGGCAGCAGUAGGGAAUCGUCCGAAAUGGGCGAAAGCCUGACGGAGCAACGCCGCGUGAGUGAUGAAGGUCCUCGGAUCGUAAAACUCUGUUAUUAGGGAAGAACAUAUGUGUAAGUAACUGUGCACAUCUUGACGGUACCUAAUCAGAAAGCCACGGCUAACUACG
Molecule: ribosomal RNA, 495 nt
Filed under: uncultured bacterium
Lineage: Bacteria
Description: partial 16S ribosomal RNA
Rfam family: Bacterial small subunit ribosomal RNA
Source: RNAcentral